Molecule: ribosomal RNA, 433 nt
Filed under: uncultured bacterium
Lineage: Bacteria
Description: partial 16S ribosomal RNA
Rfam family: Bacterial small subunit ribosomal RNA
Source: RNAcentral
AACGAACGCUGGCGGCAGGCCUAACACAUGCAAGUCGAGCGAGGACUUCGGUUCUAGCGGCGGACGGGUGAGUAACGCGUGGGAAUGUGCCCUUCUCUACGGAAUAGCCCUGGGAAACUGGGAGUAAUACCGUAUACGCCCUUUUGGGGAAAGAUUUAUCGGAGAAGGAUCAGCCCGCGUUGGAUUAGGUAGUUGGUGGGGUAAUGGCCUACCAAGCCGACGAUCCAUAGCUGGUUUGAGAGGAUGAUCAGCCACACUGGGACUGAGACACGGCCCAGACUCCUACGGGAGGCAGCAGUGGGGAAUCUUAGACAAUGGGGGCAACCCUGAUCUAGCCAUGCCGCGUGAGUGAUGAAGGCCUUAGGGUUGUAAAGCUCUUUCAGCUGGGAAGAUAAUGACGGUACCAGCAGAAGAGGCCCCGGCUAACUCCGUG